This 720-nucleotide ribosomal RNA is filed under the name uncultured Burkholderiales bacterium. RNAcentral describes it as "SSU rRNA". It matches the Rfam family "Bacterial small subunit ribosomal RNA", at positions 73 to 789 of the family's 1533-position model. Lineage: Bacteria; Pseudomonadati; Pseudomonadota; Betaproteobacteria; Burkholderiales. The record is from RNAcentral.
CGGGAGCUAGCUCCUGGUGGCGAGUGGCGAACGGGUGAGUAAUAUAUCGGAACGUGCCCUAUAGUGAGGGAUAACAAGUCGAAAGAUUAGCUAAUACCGCAUACGAUCUACGGAUGAAAGUGGGGGAUCGCAAGACCUCAUGCUCGUGGAGCGGCCGAUAUCUGAUUAGCUAGUUGGUGAGGUAAAGGCUCACCAAGGCAUCGAUCAGUAGCUGGUCUGAGAGGACGACCAGCCACACUGGGACUGAGACACGGCCCAGACUCCUACGGGAGGCAGCAGUGGGGAAUUUUGGACAAUGGGGGCAACCCUGAUCCAGCAAUGCCGCGUGAGUGAAGAAGGCCUUCGGGUUGUAAAGCUCUUUUGUCAGGGAAGAAACGGUGAGGGCUAAUAUCCUUUGCUAAUGACGGUACCUGAAGAAUAAGCACCGGCUAACUACGUGCCAGCAGCCGCGGUAAUACGUAGGGUGCAAGCGUUAAUCGGAAUUACUGGGCGUAAAGCGUGCGCAGGCGGUUAUGCAAGACAGAUGUGACAUCCCCGGGCUCAACCUGGGAAUUCAUUUGUGACUGUAUGGCUAGAGUGUGUCAGAGGGGGGUAGAAUUCCACGUGUAGCAGUGAAAUGCGUAGAUAUGUGGAGGAAUACCGAUGGCGAAGGCAGCCCCCUGGGAUAACACUGACGCUCAUGCACGAAAGCGUGGGGAGCAAACAGGAUUAGAUACCCUG